CUUUAAUGGAUAAUUUUAGUAUGUGGUGUAUGGGAAUGUUAGAUUAAGCUUUGUAGUUUAUAUUAAAAUUUUUGUAUGUGGAACAAAAGAAGGGAGGGGCUUUAGAUUGUUUAUUGUUUGUUUUUUAGUAUUGCAUAUUAUUAGAGGACUAUUUUUAUUGUUGAUAAUUAAUAGAAAUAAAAGGUGGAGGGAUUUUUGGUUUUAUUGUUGUAUGAUAAGAAUUAUUAUUUUUUGUUUUGAUAUAACGUCUUUUAUUAUAUCUGUGUUUUGUUUAUUUUUUAGAAAAUUGUAAGUUUGUGACUGUUCUUGAGGAAAUUUAGGAUUUGGAGUUUUUUGUUUUUUAGUGUUAUGACUUUUUCUGGGUUGGUGUUUUAUUUUUUUUUUUUGUUUUUGUAUUAAUGUUUUAAUAUUUUAAUAGUUUUUAAUUUAGUAGAUUGUCUAUGUUGUGUCUGGUGUUAUUAAUUUAAAUUGAAUGACGGUUUUAUAAUCAAAUGUUUAUUAAAGACUUAGACACUAAUUUGGUGUUGUCCUCUGCUCUAUGAUUGUUAAAUGGCCGCCUUAGCGUGAGGGCAUGAAAGUAGCAAAAUAAUUUGUGUUUUUAAUGGAUUCGAGUAUGAAAGGGGGUUUGGUUAUUUUUGUUUUGUUUUUAUUUUGAAUUAGCGUAGUGUUUAAUAAUUAAUGUUUGUAGUUAAACAAAGAUAAGUCUUCGGAAAUUCUGUUAAUUAUGGAAAAUUUAAGUUUUGUAAUUAUGUUAUUUAGGGCAAGGUUUUGUAUAAAAGGUUUUACUAGUUUUAUGAAAAAGAGUUACUUCGGAGUUAACAGAAAAUCACAUUUUUUCUAGAUGUUAUAGAUAAAAGGGUUUUACAUCGAUGUUGUAUUCUAAUUGGCUAAAGGAGUAGCAAUUUUAGUUUUUUAGACUGUCUCUUCAUA
RNAcentral lists this ribosomal RNA (930 nucleotides) under Aspidodera raillieti. RNAcentral describes it as "partial 16S ribosomal RNA". The record is from RNAcentral. Lineage: Eukaryota; Metazoa; Nematoda; Chromadorea; Rhabditida; Aspidoderidae.